AAGUCGUAACAAGGUUUCCGUAGGUGAACCUGCGGAAGGAUCAUUAACACGUAUCCAAACGUUAAAACCCCCCCCGUGAACCUUCAUCCUGCUCUUGUAACCCGCGUAGUUCGCAAUCUCUGAUAAAUCAUAGCCCGGAAAGUUGUAGUGAUUCAGAGACCUCUGGCUACGUGCGAACAUUGGAACAGUUACAAUCGAGCGGUAGUUCUAUAGGCAAUGUUUCCCCAAGCAGUCAGUGUCGGAAAAGACCGUACACUCGGGCAGGAGCUUUGCCAAAGGGCCCCCAUGCCCCCUAAUAACCCCACAGUUUAAUGUGAAGCUCAAUGUAAUACAUUGGGUAAAAAAACCGAACAACUGUUAACAAUGGAUAUCUUGGUUCUC
RNAcentral lists this unclassified non-coding RNA (381 nucleotides) under fungal sp. RNAcentral's name for it is "partial internal transcribed spacer region". The stretch from base 1 to 46 matches the Rfam family "Eukaryotic small subunit ribosomal RNA", at positions 1786 to 1831 of the family's 1831-position model. The record is from RNAcentral. Lineage: Eukaryota; Fungi.